AUACGUAGGGGGCAAGCGUUGUCCGGAAUUAUUGGGCGUAAAGCGCGCGCAGGCGGCCUGUUAAGUCUGGUGUGAAAGACCACGGCUCAACCGAGGGGUGGCAUCAGAAACUGGCGGGCUUGAGUGCAGGAGAGGAGAGUGGAAUUCCCGGUGUAGCGGUGGAAUGCGUAGAGAUCGGGAGGAACACCAGUGGCGAAGGCGACUCUCUGGCCUGUAACUAACGCUGAGGCGUGAAAGCGUGGGGAGCGAACAGGAUUAGAUACCCUGGUAGUCCACGCCGUAAACGAUGAGUGCUAGGUGUUGGGGGUCUCCGCCCUCUGUGCCGAAGGUAACCCAAUAAGCACUCCGCCUGGGGAGUACGGCCGCAAGGCUGAA
Molecule: ribosomal RNA, 375 nt
Filed under: uncultured bacterium
Lineage: Bacteria
Description: bacterial SSU rRNA
Rfam family: Bacterial small subunit ribosomal RNA
Source: RNAcentral